RNAcentral lists this ribosomal RNA (343 nucleotides) under uncultured bacterium. RNAcentral describes it as "bacterial SSU rRNA". It matches the Rfam family "Bacterial small subunit ribosomal RNA", at positions 29 to 399 of the family's 1533-position model. The record is from RNAcentral.
AACGAACGCUGGCGGCAGGCCUAACACAUGCAAGUCGAACGCCGUAGCAAUACGGAGUGGCAGACGGGUGAGUAACACGUGGGAACGUACCCUUCGGUUCGGGAUAACUCAGGGAAACUUGAGCUAAUACCGGACACGUCCGAGAGGAGAAAGAUUUAUUGCCGAGGGAUCGGCCCGCGUCUGAUUAGCUUGUUGGUGAGGUAACGGCUCACCAAGGCGACGAUCAGUAGCUGGCUGAGAGGAUGAUCAGCCACAUUGGGACUGAGACACGGGCCCAAACUCCUACGGGAGGCAGCAGUGGGAAUAUUGGACAAUGGGGCGCAAGCCUGAUCCAGCCAUGCCG